GGCAAUCUGCCCUAAAGACUGGGAUACCACUUGGAAACAGGUGCUAAUACCGGAUAACAACAUGAAUCGCAUGAUUCAAGUUUGAAAGGCGGCGCAAGCUGUCACUUUAGGAUGAGCCCGCGGCGCAUUAGCUAGUUGGUGGGGUAAAGGCCUACCAAGGCAAUGAUGCGUAGCCGAGUUGAGAGACUGAUCGGCCACAUUGGGACUGAGACACGGCCCAAACUCCUACGGGAGGCAGCAGUAGGGAAUCUUCCACAAUGGACGCAAGUCUGAUGGAGCAACGCCGCGUGAGUGAAGAAGGUUUUCGGAUCGUAAAGCUCUGUUGUUGGUGAAGAAGGAUAGAGGCAGUAACUGGUCUUUAUUUGACGGUAAUCAACCAGAAAGUCACGGCUAACUACGUGCCAGCAGCCGCGGUAAUACGUAGGUGGCAAGCGUUGUCCGGAUUUAUUGGGCGUAAAGCGAGCGCAGGCGGAAUGAUAAGUCUGAUGUGAAAGCCCACGGCUCAACCGUGGAACUGCAUCGGAAACUGUCAUUCUUGAGUGCAGAAGAGGAGAGUGGAAUUCCAUGUGUAGCGGUGGAAUGCGUAGAUAUAUGGAAGAACACCAGUGGCGAAGGCGGCUCUCUGGUCUGCAACUGACGCUGAGGCUC
This 648-nucleotide ribosomal RNA is filed under the name Lactobacillus delbrueckii subsp. bulgaricus. RNAcentral describes it as "bacterial SSU rRNA". It matches the Rfam family "Bacterial small subunit ribosomal RNA", at positions 120 to 754 of the family's 1533-position model. Lineage: Bacteria; Bacillati; Bacillota; Bacilli; Lactobacillales; Lactobacillaceae. The record is from RNAcentral.